GACGAACGCUGGCGGCGUGCUUAACACAUGCAAGUCGAACGAAGAGCGAUGGAAGCUUGCUUCUAUCAAUCUUAGUGGCGAACGGGUGAGUAACGCGUAAUCAACCUGCCCUUCAGAGGGGGACAACAGUUGGAAACGACUGCUAAUGCCGCAUACGAUCUGACCUCGGCAUCGAGGAUAGAUGAAAGGUGGCCUCUAUUUAUAAGCUAUCACUGAAGGAGGGGAUUGCGUCUGAUUAGCUAGUUGGAGGGGUAACGGCCCACCAAGGCGAUGAUCAGUAGCCGGUCUUGGAGGAUGAACGGCCAAAUUGGGAAUGGGACACGGCCCAAACUCCUACCGGGAGCAGCAAGGGGGGAUCUUCCGCAAUGGACGGAAGGCUGGCGGAGCAACGCCGCGUGAGUGAUGACGGCCUUCGGGUUGUAAAGCUCUGUUAAUCGGGACGAAAGGCCUUCUUGCGAAUAGUUAGAAGGAUUGACGGUACCGGAACAGAAAGCCACGGCUAACUACGUG
Molecule: ribosomal RNA, 510 nt
Filed under: uncultured bacterium
Lineage: Bacteria
Description: partial 16S ribosomal RNA
Rfam family: Bacterial small subunit ribosomal RNA
Source: RNAcentral